This 253-nucleotide ribosomal RNA is filed under the name uncultured bacterium. RNAcentral describes it as "partial 16S ribosomal RNA". It matches the Rfam family "Bacterial small subunit ribosomal RNA", at positions 524 to 776 of the family's 1533-position model. The record is from RNAcentral.
UACGUAGGGUGCGAGCGUUGUCCGGAAUUAUUGGGCGUAAAGGGCUCGUAGGCGGUCUGUCGCGUCGGGAGUGAAAACUCAGGGCUUAACCCUGAGCCUGCUUCCGAUACGGGCAAACUAGAGUACUGCAGGGGAGACUGGAAUUCCUGGUGUAGCGGUGAAAUGCGUAGAUAUCUGGAGGAAUACCGGUGGCGAAGGCGGCAUCCUGGACCGAGAUUGACACUGAUGAGCGAAAGCCAGGGGAGCAAACGGG